This 521-nucleotide ribosomal RNA is filed under the name uncultured bacterium. Its description in RNAcentral is "partial 16S ribosomal RNA". It matches the Rfam family "Bacterial small subunit ribosomal RNA", at positions 355 to 864 of the family's 1533-position model. The record is from RNAcentral.
UGGGGAAUAUUGCACAAUGGGCGCAAGCCUGAUGCAGCCAUGCCGCGUGUGUGAAGAAGGCCUUCGGGUUGUAAAGCACUUUCAGCGAGGAGGAAGGUGGUGAGCUUAAUACGCUCAUCAAUUGACGUUACUCGCAGAAGAAGCACCGGCUAACUCCGUGCCAGCAGCCGCGGUAAUACGGAGGGUGCAAGCGUUAAUCGGAAUUACUGGGCGUAAAGCGCACGCAGGCGGUUUGUUAAGUCAGAUGUGAAAUCCCCGGGCUCAACCUGGGAACUGCAUUUGAAACUGGCAAGCUAGAGUCUCGUAGAGGGGGGUAGAAUUCCAGGUGUAGCGGUGAAAUGCGUAGAGAUCUGGAGGAAUACCGGUGGCGAAGGCGGCCCCCUGGACGAAGACUGACGCUCAGGUGCGAAAAGCGUGGGGAGCAAAACAGGAUUAGAUACCCUGGUAGUCCACGCUGUAAAACGAUGUCGAUUUUGGAGGUUGUGCCCUUGAGGCGUGGCUUCCGGAGCUAACGCGUUAAA